Molecule: ribosomal RNA, 468 nt
Filed under: uncultured bacterium
Lineage: Bacteria
Description: partial 16S ribosomal RNA
Rfam family: Bacterial small subunit ribosomal RNA
Source: RNAcentral
GACGAACGCUGGCGGCGUGCUUAACACAUGCAAGUCGAACGGAAAGGCCCUGCUUUUGCGGGGUGCUCGUUUGGCGAACGGGUGAGUAACACGUGAGUAACCUGCCCUUGACUUUGGGAUAACUUUUGGAAACUGGGGCUCAUACCCGAUAGGAGCUCCUGCUGCAUGGUGGGGGUUGGAAAGUUUCGGCGGUUGGGGCUGGAUUCGCGGCUUAUCAGCUUGUUGGUGGGGUAGUGGCUUACCAAGGCUUUGACGGGUAGCCGGCCUGAGAGGGUGACCGGGCACAUUGGGACUGCGAUACGGCGCAGACUGCUACGGGAGGCAGCAGUGGGGAAUAUUGCACAAUAGGCGGAAGCCUGAUGCAGCAACGCCGCGUGCGGGAUGACGGGCUUCGGGUUGUAAACAGCUGUCGCAUGUGACGAAGCGUGAGUGACGGUAAUGGGUAAAGAAGCACCGGCUAACUACGUG